UGGGGAAUAUUGCACAAUGGGCGCAAGCCUGAUGCAGCCAUGCCGCGUGUGUGAAGAAGGCCUUCGGGUUGUAAAGCACUUUCAGCGGGGAGGAAGGCGGUGAGGUUAAUAACCUCAUCGAUUGACGUUACCCGCAGAAGAAGCACCGGCUAACUCCGUGCCAGCAGCCGCGGUAAUACGGAGGGUGCAAGCGUUAAUCGGAAUUACUGGGCGUAAAGCGCACGCAGGCGGUCUGUCAAGUCGGAUGUGAAAUCCCCGGGCUCAACCUGGGAACUGCAUUCGAAACUGGCAGGCUAGAGUCUUGUAGAGGGGGGUAGGAUUCCAGGUGUAGCGGUGAAAUGCGUGGAGAUCUGGAGGAAUACCGGUGGCGAAGGCGGCCCCCUGGACAAAGACUGACGCUCAGGUGCGAAAGCGUGGGGAGCAAACAGG
Molecule: ribosomal RNA, 429 nt
Filed under: Chloroflexota bacterium
Lineage: Bacteria; Bacillati; Chloroflexota
Description: Chloroflexi bacterium partial 16S ribosomal RNA
Rfam family: Bacterial small subunit ribosomal RNA
Source: RNAcentral